CUAACACAUGCAAGUCGAGCGGGGAUAGGUAGCUUGCUACCGAUUCUUAGCGGCGGACGGGUGAGUAAUGCUUAGGAAUCUGCCUAUUAGUGGGGGACAACAUUUCGAAAGGAAUGCUAAUACCGCAUACGUCCUACGGGAGAAAGCAGGGGAUCUUCGGACCUUGCGCUAAUAGAUGAGCCUAAGUCGGAUUAGCUAGUUGGUGGGGUAAAGGCCUACCAAGGCGACGAUCUGUAGCGGGUCUGAGAGGAUGAUCCGCCACACUGGGACUGAGACACGGCCCAGACUCCUACGGGAGGCAGCAGUGGGGAAUAUUGGACAAUGGGCGGAAGCCUGAUCCAGCCAUGCCGCGUGUGUGAAGAAGGCCUUUUGGUUGUAAAGCACUUUAAGCGAGGAGGAGGCUUACCUAGUUAAUACCUGGGAUAAGUGGACGUACUCGCAGAAUAGCACCGGCAACU
RNAcentral lists this ribosomal RNA (458 nucleotides) under uncultured bacterium. Its description in RNAcentral is "bacterial SSU rRNA". It matches the Rfam family "Bacterial small subunit ribosomal RNA", at positions 48 to 501 of the family's 1533-position model. The record is from RNAcentral.